Molecule: ribosomal RNA, 253 nt
Filed under: uncultured bacterium
Lineage: Bacteria
Description: partial 16S ribosomal RNA
Rfam family: Bacterial small subunit ribosomal RNA
Source: RNAcentral
GACAGAGGGUGCAAACGUUGUUCGGAAUUACUGGGCGUAAAGCGAGUGUAGGCGGUCUGCUAAGUCGGGUGUGAAAGCCCCGGGCUCAACCCGGGAAGUGCACUCGAAACUGGCAGGCUAGAGUAUCGGAGAGGUUGGUGGAAUUCUCGGUGUAGAGGUGAAAUUCGUAGAUAUCGAGAGGAACACCGGUGGCGAAGGCGGCUCACUGGCCCGGUACUGACGCUGAGGUGCGAAAGCGUGGGGAGCAAACAGG